GAUGAACGCUGGCGGCGUGCCUAAUACAUGCAAGUCGAGCGAACAGACGAGGAGCUUGCUCCUCUGACGUUAGCGGCGGACGGGUGAGUAACACGUGGAUAACCUACCUAUAAGACCGGGAUAACUUCGGGAAACCGGAGCUAAUACCGGAUAAUAUAUUUAACCGCAUGGUUCAAUAGUGAAAGACGGUUUUGCUUUCACUUAUAGAUGGAUCCGCGCCGCAUUAGCUAGUUGGUAAGGUAACGGCUUACCAAGGCAACGAUGCGUAGCCGACCUGAGAGGGUGAUCGGCCACACUGGAACUGAGACACGGUCCAGACUCCUACGGGAGGCAGCAGUAGGGAAUCUUCCGCAAUGGGCGAAAGCUUGACGGAGCAACGCCGCGUGAGUGAUGAAGGUCUUCGGAUCGUAAAACUCUGUUAUUAGGGAAGAACAAAUGUGUAAGUAACUAUGCACGUCUUGACGGUACCUAAUCAGAAAGCCACGGCUAACUACGUG
This 497-nucleotide ribosomal RNA is filed under the name uncultured bacterium. RNAcentral describes it as "partial 16S ribosomal RNA". It matches the Rfam family "Bacterial small subunit ribosomal RNA", at positions 28 to 507 of the family's 1533-position model. The record is from RNAcentral.